CUGGAGGUAUCAGAAGUGCGAAUGCUGACAUAAGUAACGAUAAAGCGGGUGAAAAGCCCGCUCGCCGGAAGACCAAGGGUUCCUGUCCAACGUUAAUCGGGGCAGGGUGAGUCGACCCCUAAGGCGAGGCCGAAAGGCGUAGUCGAUGGGAAACAGGUUAAUAUUCCUGUACUUGGUGUUACUGCGAAGGGGGGACGGAGAAGGCUAUGUUGGCCGGGCGACGGUUGUCCCGGUUUAAGCGUGUAGGCUGGUUUUCCAGGCAAAUCCGGAAAAUCAAGGCUGAGGCGUGAUGACGAGGCACUACGGUGCUGAAGCAACAAAUGCCCUGCUUCCAGGAAAAGCCUCUAAGCAUCAGGUAACAUCAAAUCGUACCCCAAACCGACACAGGUGGUCAGGUAGAGAAUACCAAGGCGCUUGAGAGAACUCGGGUGAAGGAACUAGGCAAAAUGGUGCCGUAACUUCGGGAGAAGGCACGCUGAUAUGUAGGUGAAGUCCCUCGCGGAUGGAGCUGAAAUCAGUCGAAGAUACCAGCUGGCUGCAACUGUUUAUUAAAAACACAGCACUGUGCAAACACGAAAGUGGACGUAUACGGUGUGACGC
RNAcentral lists this ribosomal RNA (600 nucleotides) under Escherichia coli. RNAcentral's name for it is "partial 23S ribosomal RNA". It matches the Rfam family "Bacterial large subunit ribosomal RNA", at positions 1273 to 1858 of the family's 2925-position model. Lineage: Bacteria; Pseudomonadati; Pseudomonadota; Gammaproteobacteria; Enterobacterales; Enterobacteriaceae. The record is from RNAcentral.